AACUUUUAGCAACGGAUCUCUUGGUUCUGGCAUCGAUGAAGAACGCAGCGUAAUGCGAUAAGUAAUGUGAAUUGCAGAAUUCAGUGAAUCAUUGAAUCUUUGAACGCACAUUGCGCCCGCCAGUAUUCUGGCGGGCAUGCCUGUUUGAGCGUCAUUUCAACCAUCAAGCCCCCGGGCUUGCGUUGGGGCCCUGCGGCUGCCGCAGACCCCUAAAACCAGUGGCGGGCUCGCUGUCACACCGAGCGCAGUAGCAAUAUCUCGCUCUGGGCGUGGCGCGGGUGCUUGCCGUAAAACACACCACUUAACAAGGUUGACCUCGGAUCAGGUAGGAAUACCCGCUGAACUUAAGCAUAUCAAUAAGCGGAGGCU
Molecule: unclassified non-coding RNA, 369 nt
Filed under: uncultured Lasiosphaeriaceae
Lineage: Eukaryota; Fungi; Ascomycota; Sordariomycetes; Sordariales; Lasiosphaeriaceae
Description: sequence contains ITS2
Rfam family: 5.8S ribosomal RNA (bases 1-154)
Source: RNAcentral